GAGCCACGGAUAAGCUUGGUGCUAUCUCUUCUUCUUAGUUUUUUUGUUUCUUUUGUGUUAGUGUUGAUUCUAGUGAAAAAAAUCGAUUUAAUGAAUUAAUGUUUGAUUUAUGAAGUUAUUUAUGGAUCACUAUUUAUCAAUUGUUGUGAAAGAUUGAGGAUGUAUGGAAGUUUCCAGUCACUGUUUAUCGCAAGGUUGUAAGUUCAGUGGAGAGGAAUUGUAAUUGAAGAAAUUGUCUUGAUCAGAUUCUGUGGAUUGGAAGUUGUUCGUUCCAGAGUUUGGGAUAUGCUUGUGUGUUUG
Molecule: long non-coding RNA, 300 nt
Filed under: Physcomitrium patens
Lineage: Eukaryota; Viridiplantae; Streptophyta; Bryopsida; Funariales; Funariaceae
Description: long non-coding RNA (PPAT_LNC014836)
Source: RNAcentral